AGUGAACGCUGGCGGCAGGCCUAAUACAUGCAAGUCGAACGGCAGCACAGCAGAGCUUGCUCUGUGGGUGGCGAGUGGCGGACGGGUGAGGAAUACAUGGGAAUCUGCCCAGUCGUGGGGGAUAACGUAGGGAAACUUACGCUAAUACCGCAUGCGCCCUUCGGGGAAAGCCGGGGACCGUAAGGCCUGGCGCGAUUGGAUGAGCCCAUGUCGGAUUAGCUAGUUGGCGGGGUAAAGGCCCACCAAGGCGACGAUCCGUAGCUGGUCUGAGAGGAUGAUCAGCCACACUGGAACUGAGACACGGUCCAGACUCCUACGGGAGGCAGCAGUAGGGAAUAUUGGACAAUGGGCGCAAGCCUGAUCCAGCCAUGCCGCGUGAGUGAAGAAGGCCCUCGGGUUGUAAAGCUCUUUGUCCGGAAAGAAAAGCGCCGGGUUAAUACCCUGGUGUCCUGACGGUACCGGAAGAAUAAGCACCGGCUAACUUCGUGCCAGCAGCCGCGGUAAU
Molecule: ribosomal RNA, 505 nt
Filed under: uncultured bacterium
Lineage: Bacteria
Description: bacterial SSU rRNA
Rfam family: Bacterial small subunit ribosomal RNA
Source: RNAcentral